CCUACGGGUGGCAGCAGUGGGGAAUUUUGGACAAUGGGCGCAAGCCUGAUCCAGCUAUUCCGCGUGUGGGAUGAAGGCCCUCGGGUUGUAAACUCCUGUUGUUGGGGAAAAGAAGGAUGGUACCCAACAAGGAAGUGACGGCUAACUACGUGCCAGCAGCCGCGGUAAAACGUAGGUCACGAGCGUUGUCCGGAAUUACUGGGUGUAAAGGGAGCGCAGGCGGGUAUGCAAGUUGGGAGUGAAAUACAUGGGCUCAACCCAUGAACUGCUCUCAAAACUGUGUAUCUUGAGUAGUGCAGAGGUAGGCGGAAUUCCCGGUGUAGCGGUGGAAUGCGUAGAUAUCGGGAGGAACACCAGUGGCGAAGGCGGCCUACUGGGCACCAACUGACGCUGAGGCUCGAAAGUGUGGGGAGCAAACAGGAUUAGAUACCCCGGUAGUC
RNAcentral lists this ribosomal RNA (440 nucleotides) under uncultured bacterium. RNAcentral's name for it is "bacterial SSU rRNA". It matches the Rfam family "Bacterial small subunit ribosomal RNA", at positions 338 to 795 of the family's 1533-position model. The record is from RNAcentral.